RNAcentral lists this long non-coding RNA (464 nucleotides) under Trifolium pratense (red clover). RNAcentral describes it as "long non-coding RNA (TPRA_LNC011415)". Lineage: Eukaryota; Viridiplantae; Streptophyta; Magnoliopsida; Fabales; Fabaceae. The record is from RNAcentral.
UAAAUCGCAACUAAGAGAAACAGGUCGCCAAUUGCUGGAUCUCGUUUUAAGUUUGGGACCUGACUGCGAUUCUGUUUUUAGGAGUUUUCAAGACUGUGAUGUCCUCAUUUUGUUUGGUCUCUGGUUUGCUGUCGUGUUUCUAAGGUUUAGUGGUUUUUUGGUUGAGGGAUAGUUAUUUUCCUUCUAGGUGGAGCGGUACUUGUGUGUAAAAGAUGAAUCAGGCAGCAAUGAGAAGCACAGAGUGAGCAUGUCAUUUGAAUUAUGCAGUUCAAAUUGGUUGGAACUCAUCAUCGUUACUAGUAGUGGGGCGAUGCUUUUUGUUAGUGGUCUUGAGUUUCUCUCAUAUGAGAUCUAUAUUUUUGCUGUUUCCAAAAAAAAAAGUAAGAAAAAAAAAUCCAGAUCUGAUUUGGUUUCAAACUUGAAUUUUGUUGUAAAUCUGAAAAUAUUGAAGUUGCAAAUCUUAA